Long non-coding RNA from Aricia agestis (brown argus), 414 nucleotides. RefSeq lists it as uncharacterized. The transcript is spliced from 3 exons. The record is from RefSeq and is a predicted model, not a curated record. NCBI's taxonomy places the organism in Eukaryota, Metazoa, Arthropoda, Insecta, Lepidoptera, Lycaenidae.
CGGUUAUUUUGUUUCUGUGUGAUUAAAAUAUAAAUUUAAGUGGCUAAUAGUAAAAAGAAGUGAAAUAUGGUUAGCCGAGGACGUUUUUUAGUUGAACUUGCACGUGAGCAAUCAAAGACUGAUCAUAAUAAUGAAGUAUUACUUCAUGAAACAGUGCAACAUCAUAAGGAUGUAAUACCAAUCACAACAAUUUAUGAGUCUGAGGCUUCAGAAUGUACACAUGGACAUGACACUUUUUCAAAUCAUCACCUAGAAAACAGUCCAGAACCCGGUCAUGAUCAUUUGAUUACAGAUUUACCUGAUAAUACAAUAAAUCCAGGCCACAACCCAAACCCCUUCACAACAAAUGAAACUUUGGACUUUUCAAGUGAUACUUCUUCCAGUUAUCACCCAGAUGAAAACUCAGAAAACAGU